ACCGUACUCCUACGGGAGGCAGCAGUGGGGAAUCUUAGACAAUGGGGGCAACCCUGAUCUAGCCAUGCCGCGUGAGUGAUGAAGGCCUUAGGGUUGUAAAGCUCUUUCAGCUGGGAAGAUAAUGACGGUACCAGCAGAAGAAGCCCCGGCUAACUCCGUGCCAGCAGCCGCGGUAAUACGGAGGGGGCUAGCGUUGUUCGGAAUUACUGGGCGUAAAGCGCACGUAGGCGGACUGGAAAGUUGGAGGUGAAAUCCCAGGGCUCAACCUUGGAACUGCCUUCAAAACUAUCAGUCUGGAGUUCGAGAGAGGUGAGUGGAAUUCCGAGUGUAGAGGUGAAAUUCGUAGAUAUUCGGAGGAACACCAGUGGCGAAGGCGGCUCACUGGCUCGAUACUGACACUGAGGUGCGAAAGUGUGGGGAGCAAACAGGAUUAGAUACCCGUGUAGUCCUUGAC
This 454-nucleotide ribosomal RNA is filed under the name uncultured bacterium. RNAcentral's name for it is "bacterial SSU rRNA". It matches the Rfam family "Bacterial small subunit ribosomal RNA", at positions 330 to 801 of the family's 1533-position model. The record is from RNAcentral.